Long non-coding RNA from Hipposideros armiger (great roundleaf bat), 571 nucleotides. RefSeq lists it as uncharacterized. NCBI's taxonomy places the organism in Eukaryota, Metazoa, Chordata, Mammalia, Chiroptera, Hipposideridae. The transcript is spliced from 4 exons. The record is from RefSeq and is a predicted model, not a curated record.
UGCAAAUACAGUGAAAACAUUUUGAGGAAGAUUGGGGAGUUAAAAGAUGAAGGUCUGGGAAGAACAGGAAUGUGGAGAUGAAGGAGCAUCAAGACAGAAUAAACCAUAUCUUGGAUAACUUCAUGGAGCAGAGCUGUCCUGCCGUCCUUGGACUUCUCAUCUGUGGACUGUUUUUCCUGCGAUGCCAAAUAAAGUAACAUUGCAACCCUGCAAUGCCAAGUAAAGAUUGUACGGCACAUUUCAAAUCAGAAAAGGAACUUUUGGCAGAUUUUCCUCCAUGUAUCCUAUUGCUCAUGCAAAUAUAUCCUCAGACAGCGUUCAUUUUUCUCAAAAAUAAUGCUAAAAGCCAACCAGGGUGGACAAAGGACCAGAAUACCUGAUCUCGAUUUAUUUUUAGCUUUCCAGGUCAAGGAUUUUGUCAAUGAAAUCUAUACUACAAACACACAGGUAGAGGGCUCCCUUGGUCUGUUAAUGUGGCGUUUUUCUCAAGGGACAUUUACAGGUAAAUUUUCAGUUUGGAUUUGGUAAAUUUACCACAACGAAUUUAUUUACUCCUUUCCAGAGAUUUUGC